UGUAGCGGGAAAGCGUAUUAUGCACACCCCUCGCCGCUGAGAAAAAGCGAAGCGGCACUGCUCUUUAACAAUUUAUCAGACAAUCUGUGUGGGCACUCGAAGAUACGGAUUCUUAACGUCGCAAGACGAAAAAUGAAUACCAAGUCUCAAGAGUGAACACGUAAUUCAUUACGAAGUUUAAUUCUUUGAGCAUCAAACUUUUAAAUUGAAGAGUUUGAUCAUGGCUCAGAUUGAACGCUGGCGGCAGGCCUAACACAUGCAAGUCGAACGGUAACAGGAA
RNAcentral lists this ribosomal RNA (280 nucleotides) under Escherichia coli O104:H4 str. 11-4632 C5. RNAcentral describes it as "partial 23S ribosomal RNA". The stretch from base 203 to 280 matches the Rfam family "Bacterial small subunit ribosomal RNA", at positions 1 to 78 of the family's 1533-position model. The record is from RNAcentral. Lineage: Bacteria; Pseudomonadati; Pseudomonadota; Gammaproteobacteria; Enterobacterales; Enterobacteriaceae.